RNAcentral lists this ribosomal RNA (349 nucleotides) under uncultured bacterium. RNAcentral's name for it is "partial 16S ribosomal RNA". It matches the Rfam family "Bacterial small subunit ribosomal RNA", at positions 338 to 704 of the family's 1533-position model. The record is from RNAcentral.
CCUACGGGCGGCUGCAGUGGGGAAUAUUGCACAAUGGGGGAAACCCUGAUGCAGCAACGCCGCGGGAGUGAAGAAGGAUUUCGGUAUGUAAAGCUCUAUCAGCAGGGAAGAAGAUGACGGUACCUGACCAAGAAGCCCCGGCUAACUACGUGCCAGCAGCCGCGGUAAUACGUAGGGGGCAAGCGUUAUCCGGAUUUACUGGGUGUCAAGGGAGCGCAGACGGCAGGGCAAGGCUGGAGUGAACGCCCGGGGCCCCACCCCGGAACUGCUCUUGAAACGGUGCGGCUAGAGUACUGGAGGGGCCGGCGGCCUUCCUCGUGUAGCGGUGAACUGCGUAGAUAUUAGGAGG